RNAcentral lists this ribosomal RNA (484 nucleotides) under uncultured bacterium. RNAcentral's name for it is "partial 16S ribosomal RNA". It matches the Rfam family "Bacterial small subunit ribosomal RNA", at positions 30 to 507 of the family's 1533-position model. The record is from RNAcentral.
AUUGAACGCUGGCGGCAGGCCUAACACAUGCAAGUCGAGCGGAUGAAGGGAGCUUGCUCCUGGAUUCAGCGGCGGAAGGGUGAGUAAUGCCUAGGAAUCUGCCUGGUAGUGGGGGAUAACGUCUGGAAACGGGUGCUACUACCGCAUACGUCCUGAGGGAGAAAGUGGGGGAUGUUCGGACCUCACGCUAUCAGAUGAGCCUAGGUCGGAUUAGCUAGUUGGUGGGGUAAAGGCCUACCAAGGCGACGAUCCGUAACUGGUCUGAGAGGAUGAUCAGUCACACUGGAACUGAGACACGGUCCAGACUCCUACGGGAGGCAGCAGUGGGGAAUAUUGGACAAUGGGCGAAAGCCUGAUCCAGCCAUGCCGCGUGUGUGAAGAAGGUCUUCGGAUUGUAAAGCACUUUAAGUUGGGAGGAAGGGCAGUAAGUUAAUACCUUGCUGUUUUGACGUUACCAACAGAAUAAGCACCGGCUAACUUCGUG